UACGUAGGGUGCGAGCGUUGUCCGGAAUUAUUGGGCGUAAAGAGCUCGUAGGCGGUCUGUCGCGUCGGUCGUGAAAACUUGGGGCUUAACCCUGAGCUUGCGGUCGAUACGGGCAUGACUGGAGUUCGGUAGGGGAGACUGGAAUUCCUGGUGUAGCGGUGAAAUGCGCAGAUAUCGGGAAGAACACCCGUGGCGAAGGCGGCUCUCUGGAACGCAACUGACGCUGAGACGCGAAAGCGUGGGGAGCAAACAGG
RNAcentral lists this ribosomal RNA (254 nucleotides) under uncultured bacterium. RNAcentral describes it as "partial 16S ribosomal RNA". It matches the Rfam family "Bacterial small subunit ribosomal RNA", at positions 524 to 776 of the family's 1533-position model. The record is from RNAcentral.